Molecule: ribosomal RNA, 253 nt
Filed under: uncultured bacterium
Lineage: Bacteria
Description: partial 16S ribosomal RNA
Rfam family: Bacterial small subunit ribosomal RNA
Source: RNAcentral
UACGUAGGUGGCGAGCGUUGUCCGGAAUUACUGGGUGUAAAGGGCGUGUAGGCGGGAAUGCAAGUCAGAUGUGAAAUACCGCAGCUUAACUGCGGGGCUGCAUCUGAAACUGUGUUUCUUGAGUGUCGGAGAGGAAAGUGGAAUUCCUAGUGUAGCGGUGAAAUGCGUAGAUAUUAGGAGGAACACCAGUGGCGAAGGCGACUUUCUGGACGAUAACUGACGCUGAGGCGCGAAAGCGUGGGGAGCAAACAGG